AAUCCGUUCAGUCGUUUCCGCGUAUUAAUUUAAUUAAACUUUUUUAACAGGUGGCAACUCUUCCAAAAAAUUAGCUUAUUUUACACUGUAGAUCAUAAGCUAGGUAUCUGCUUGCAAAAUUUUAUGCAAAUCUAUUCAGUCGUUUCCGCGUAUUAAUUUAAUUAAACUUUUUUAACAGGUGGCAACUCUUCCAAAAAAUUAGCUUAUUUUACACUGUAGAUCAUAAGCUAGGUAUCUGCUUGCAAAAUUUUAUGCAAAUCUAUUCAGUCGUUUCCGCGUAUUAAUUUAAUUAAACUUUUUUAACAGGU
Long non-coding RNA from Rhagoletis zephyria (snowberry fruit fly), 308 nucleotides. RefSeq lists it as uncharacterized. The record is from RefSeq and is a predicted model, not a curated record. NCBI's taxonomy places the organism in Eukaryota, Metazoa, Arthropoda, Insecta, Diptera, Tephritidae.